Long non-coding RNA from Hibiscus syriacus, 596 nucleotides. RefSeq lists it as uncharacterized. The record is from RefSeq and is a predicted model, not a curated record. NCBI's taxonomy places the organism in Eukaryota, Viridiplantae, Streptophyta, Magnoliopsida, Malvales, Malvaceae. The transcript is spliced from 3 exons.
GAUUGAAGAUGGUGAAGAGGGUAGCCCUGUAAAUUUGGGUUUGGAGGUGGUCGGGGGAAAUACCCAGGCUAAGAAUGUGAAACUGCCGAAUCUGACGAUUAAGGAAAAGAAAGAGCUGGCUUCUUAUGCACAUUGAAGUGCCAACUGGUGGGGAAAUCUGGUGUUACUGAUAAUGUCAUCUCCUCUUUUCUUGAGACCCUUGAAGCCAAUGAACUUCUAAAGAUCAAAAUUCACCGGAUUUGUUCCGGAGAGCUACAGGUUGUGGUCCAACUGGAGCAAGCAACCGGUUCAGUCGUCGUCGGUCGAAUUGGUCGGACUGUGAUCAUAUACAGGCGUAGUCUCACCAAAAUGAAGGCUGAAUAGAAAAAGAAAGAGUUUCAAAGAGCUUUUAUGAGAAGGCAAUCAAAGCCAAAACCUGCAUUCAUGAAGAAAGGACCUUUGUGCGGACGUGGUAGAAGGGGAAUCAGCAGGGUUUUAAAUACCAAUUCUCAGUAAUGGUAGUUUCUAGCUUCCAAGAAUUUGUAGAUUUGAUAUGCAAUUUGAGUUCUUAGUUGAAAUAGUUUCUAACAUUCAAAUUGGUCAUAAAAAUGAGCAUA